Molecule: long non-coding RNA, 206 nt
Filed under: Elaeis guineensis (African oil palm)
Lineage: Eukaryota; Viridiplantae; Streptophyta; Magnoliopsida; Arecales; Arecaceae
Description: long non-coding RNA (EGUI_LNC015154)
Source: RNAcentral
GCUUCAUACCGACAGAAGGUAGCCCGAUAUUACAACACCAAGGUCAAGCCAAACUUUUCAGGCCUGGAGACUUAGUCCUGAGAAGGGCAGAAGUCUCGAAGCCCCUGGACCAAGGGAAGCUGGCUCCGAACUGGGAAGGACCCUACAUGGUAGCAGACACCUAUGGCCCGAGGGCUUACCGACUGGAGACUCUGGAAGGAAAACCC